This 645-nucleotide long non-coding RNA is filed under the name Malus domestica (apple). Its description in RNAcentral is "long non-coding RNA (MDOM_LNC007886)". The record is from RNAcentral. Lineage: Eukaryota; Viridiplantae; Streptophyta; Magnoliopsida; Rosales; Rosaceae.
UUAUGAACAGUUUUUACAGCAACAUUUUGAUUCUUAUAUCUAGAACAAACCAAACGCAACAAACAAACAGAUUAAGAACACAACAGAACAGAACAUCAUCGUUGUAACUCGACACGAAAAACACAUAUUCGUCAUCAUAAACACCAUAAUUGCACAACACCAAAUCAAGUUUUGAUCUUUGAUUAGUUCUGCAAAAACCCAACUCAAUUUUGCAUUUAUAUGUAACAAGAUCUAGGGCAUCAUAUUAAAUUGCUAAACUUGAGAGACCAGAAAUUCAGAAUCUAAGACAAAACAAGCACAGACGUUGUACUUACUUUCCUUCGUACACUUUGGUAUGCGUGCCUUCCCCAAUCCUCGGACCAACAAAAAGAUGUUUUGGAUCGAUCAGCCACUUUGUGAAUGACAAACCAUGGGCUUUCGGAGUGCAAGAGGCGUUGACUGGUUCCCAUGUAUUUGUAUGUGCACAUGGUAGUCGAGAUAAUAGAUGUGGUGUUUGUGGACCUGUCCUCAUGGAUAAGUUCAAAGAGGAGGCUGAGCUGCGAGGAUUGACGAAUCAUGUAUUGUUACUGCUUGCUCUUACAUUGAAGGCCACAAAUAUGCUGGAAACUUGAUUAUCUACAGCCUGGGUUCAGAUGGAAGCAUAAC